CGGGGUGUGGCUCAGCUUGGUAGAGUGCUUGGUUCGGGACCAAGAGGCCGCGAGUUCGAAUCUCGCCACUCCGACCA
Molecule: transfer RNA, 77 nt
Filed under: Clostridiales bacterium 43-6
Lineage: Bacteria; Bacillati; Bacillota; Clostridia; Eubacteriales
Description: tRNA-Pro
Rfam family: tRNA
About the family: Transfer RNA (tRNA) molecules are approximately 80 nucleotides in length. Their secondary structure includes four short double-helical elements and three loops (D, anti-codon, and T loops).
Source: RNAcentral